This 630-nucleotide ribosomal RNA is filed under the name Dictyosphaerium sp. DHM2. Its description in RNAcentral is "eukaryotic LSU rRNA". The stretch from base 196 to 348 matches the Rfam family "5.8S ribosomal RNA". Lineage: Eukaryota; Viridiplantae; Chlorophyta; Trebouxiophyceae; Chlorellales; Chlorellaceae. The record is from RNAcentral.
UACAUGCCACCCCUCUUGCUUAAACCCAAGGGGGGCCAGUCCCCUGACCCAGGGCUUGCCCUGGUGUUCAGGUCUGGCGGGGUAGGCUCCGGCCUGCCUGGUUAAUUAUAACAAACCUUUAACACACACCAAACCUCAAACCAAACUGAAGCUUUUGGAAGGGAGGCUUUCAGCCCCCAUCCACGAACCAAAGACAACUCUCAACAACGGAUAUCUUGGCUCCCGUAUCGAUGAACAACGCAGCGAAAUGCGAUACGUAGUGGGAAUUGCCCAAUUCCGUGGACCAUCAAAUCUUUGAACGCCAAUUGCCCCGGGGCCUCGGCUAAGGGCAUGUCUGCCUCAGCGUCGGCUUCACCCCUCGCUCCCUUCUACUGGGAGCGGAUCUGGAGUCUCAUCGCCCUUUAUUGGGCUGACUGGGUCUGCUGAAAGCAGAGGUUUGAGCAUGGACCCCGUUUGCAUGGCAAUAGCUUGGUAGGUAGGCGUCAGCCUGCAUUUUCCUGCUGUUGCCUGAAGGGACUUUGCUGGGAGCCUAACAGGAAUUGGGUUUGGCUUAGGCCUUAACAACUCUCUUUUUCAACCUGAGCUCAGGCAAGAUUACCCGCUGAACUUAACAUAUCAUAACCGGAGGAA